RNAcentral lists this ribosomal RNA (480 nucleotides) under uncultured bacterium. Its description in RNAcentral is "bacterial SSU rRNA". It matches the Rfam family "Bacterial small subunit ribosomal RNA", at positions 28 to 525 of the family's 1533-position model. The record is from RNAcentral.
GACGAACGCUGGCGGCGUGCUUAACACAUGCAAGUCGAGCGGUAAGGCCCUUCGGGGUACACGAGCGGCGAACGGGUGAGUAACACGUGGGUGAUCUGCCUCGCACUUCGGGAUAAGCCUGGGAAACUGGGUCUAAUACCGGAUAUGACCUUUCAGUGCAUGCUGUUGGGUGGAAAGAUUUAUCGGUGCGAGAUGGGCCCGCGGCCUAUCAGCUUGUUGGCGGGGUAACGGCCCACCAAGGCGACGACGGGUAGCCGACCUGAGAGGGUGACCGGCCACACUGGGACUGAGACACGGCCCAGACUCCUACGGGAGGCAGCAGUGGGGAAUAUUGCACAAUGGGCGGAAGCCUGAUGCAGCGACGCCGCGUGAGGGAUGACGGCCUUCGGGUUGUAAACCUCUUUCGACAGGGACGAAGCGCAAGUGACGGUACCUGUAGAAGAAGCACCGGCCAACUACGUGCCAGCAGCCGCCGUAAAC